CCUCCGUCACUCCUAGGCCCUUUCCUUUGUUUGUCUCCCGCAUCCAGAGCCACUCUGCCGACAGCAGACCCGUUGCACUGCUCACCCUGCCAGGUUUCCAUCAACGUGCUCGAUGCACCAGCAUCAUCAUUCUCCCGAGUGACCAGCAGAUGUCACUAUUAUCUCUGUGUUAAAUCUCACUGGACUGCCGCUGCUGACAUGUCUGGCUCACACUGAUAGCAUUUGUCAAAUUUGUUUCACAUCAUUACACUUUUUUAUUCAACACACCCUCUCGAAGUGAACUAUUGUCAAAUGAUAAAUCUUUCUAAUGAGUUCAAAGCAGCCGAUGAUUUUGGCAAGUCUGACCCAACCCUAAUGAAGUUAUAAGGAAUUUGU
Molecule: long non-coding RNA, 375 nt
Organism: Gasterosteus aculeatus aculeatus (three-spined stickleback)
Lineage: Eukaryota; Metazoa; Chordata; Actinopteri; Perciformes; Gasterosteidae
Source: Ensembl